This is a long non-coding RNA of Mugil cephalus (flathead mullet), 256 nucleotides long. RefSeq lists it as uncharacterized. Lineage: Eukaryota; Metazoa; Chordata; Actinopteri; Mugiliformes; Mugilidae. The record is from RefSeq and is a predicted model, not a curated record. The transcript has 3 exons.
CCUCAAUUGGUGGAAACAAACGGUUCUUACCUACUGUACAUUUCAGAUUGGCACCUCAAACAGAACUCUUUAGUAGUUCUGUAUGGGAAAUACAACGCCACUAGAAAUUUAAGCAAAGAGUGUUAUGUUCGGACUUCAGAUGCAACAUGUACAUCAUGUCCCCAUAAUGUCUCAACCUAUGUUCAGUGUGUGGACUUAGACAACAAAUGUAAAAUGGCUACAUACGACAAAAAAGACUGCAAAGGACUAAUAGAAA